RNAcentral lists this ribosomal RNA (657 nucleotides) under uncultured bacterium. RNAcentral describes it as "bacterial SSU rRNA". It matches the Rfam family "Bacterial small subunit ribosomal RNA", at positions 815 to 1470 of the family's 1533-position model. The record is from RNAcentral.
GCUAGGUGUGGGGUCCUUCCCGGAUUCCGUGCCGUAGCUAACGCAUUAAGCGCCCCGCCUGGGGAGUACGGCCGCAAGGCUAAAACUCAAAGGAAUUGACGGGGGCCCGCACAAGCGGCGGAGCAUGCGGAUUAAUUCGAUGCAACGCGAAGAACCUUACCAAGGCUUGACAUACACCGGAAACUUCCAGAGAUGGGAGCCCCCUUUGUGGCUGGUGUACAGGUGGUGCAUGGUUGUCGUCAGCUCGUGUCGUGAGAUGUUGGGUUAAGUCCCGCAACGAGCGCAACCCUCGUUCUAUGUUGCCAGCGGUUCGGCCGGGGACUCAUAGGAGACUGCCGGGGUCAACUCGGAGGAAGGUGGGGAUGACGUCAAAUCAUCAUGCCCCUUACGUCUUGGGCUUCACGCAUGCUACAAUGGCCGGUACAAAGGGCUGCGAUCCCGUGAGGGGGAGCGAAUCCCAGAAAGCCGGUCUCAGUUCGGAUUGGGGUCUGCAACUCGACCCCAUGAAGUCGGAGUCGCUAGUAAUCGCAGAUCAGCAACGCUGCGGUGAAUACGUUCCCGGGCCUUGUACACACCGCCCGUCACGUCAUGAAAGUCGGUAACACCCGAAGCCGGUGGCCUAACCCCUUGUGGGAGGGAGCCGUCGAAGUGGGGCUG